RNAcentral lists this ribosomal RNA (468 nucleotides) under uncultured bacterium. RNAcentral's name for it is "partial 16S ribosomal RNA". It matches the Rfam family "Bacterial small subunit ribosomal RNA", at positions 28 to 507 of the family's 1533-position model. The record is from RNAcentral.
GAUGAACGCUGGCGGCGUGCUUAACACAUGCAAGUCGAACGGAAAGGCGCUGCUUUUGCGGGGCGCUCGUGUGGCGAACGGGUGUGAAACACGUGAGUAUCACGCCCUUGACUUUGGGAUAACUUCAGGAAACUGGGGCUAAUACCGGAUAGGAGCUCCUGCUGCAUGGUGGGGGAUGGAAAGUUACGGCGGUUGGGGAUGGACUCGCGGCUUAUCAGCUUGUUGGUGGGGUAGUGGGUUACCAAGGCUUUGACGGGUAGCCGGCCUGUGAGGGUGACCGGCGACAUUGGGACUGAGAGACGGCCCAGUCUCCUACGGGAGGCAGCGGUGGGGAAUAUAGCGGAAUAGGCGGGAGCCUGUUACAGCGACGCCGCGUGCGGAAUAACAGCCUUCGGGUUGUGAACCGCUUUCGCCUGAGACGAGGCGUGAGUGACGGUAAUGGGUAAAGAAGCACCGGCUAACUACGUG